This 74-nucleotide transfer RNA is filed under the name Muribaculaceae bacterium. Its description in RNAcentral is "tRNA-Met". It matches the Rfam family "tRNA". Rfam says of the family: Transfer RNA (tRNA) molecules are approximately 80 nucleotides in length. Lineage: Bacteria; Pseudomonadati; Bacteroidota; Bacteroidia; Bacteroidales; Muribaculaceae. The record is from RNAcentral.
UGCGGGAUAGAGCAGUCUGGUAGCUCGCGACCCUCAUAAGGUCGAGGUCGAUGGUUCAAAUCCAUCUUCCGCAA